Pelobates cultripes (western spadefoot toad) is the source of this 218-nucleotide non-coding RNA. The record is from the annotation of a GenBank genome assembly. Lineage: Eukaryota; Metazoa; Chordata; Amphibia; Anura; Pelobatidae.
GAUCAUUUUUCCGCUAGCUUGUACCAAGUGUAGUGGUGUUUUUCCUACCUUUUUGACAAACAAAGUGAGUUUGCACAGUAUAUUUUGCAAACCUUAUGUGUGUGACGACUGUAUAAUACUUCAUAUGUUGACGUCUGAGUACAGCAAUACCACCAUAUGUACCUUUGCCAGGUAUAUGUGGAUGUUGAAGGGGCGCACUUGAGACGCAGCCAGUUUUU